RNAcentral lists this ribosomal RNA (439 nucleotides) under Parvimonas sp. oral taxon 110. Its description in RNAcentral is "bacterial SSU rRNA". It matches the Rfam family "Bacterial small subunit ribosomal RNA", at positions 30 to 452 of the family's 1533-position model. Lineage: Bacteria; Bacillati; Bacillota; Tissierellia; Tissierellales; Peptoniphilaceae. The record is from RNAcentral.
CGAACGCUGGCGGCGUGCUUAACACAUGCAAGUCGAACGUGAUUUUUGUGGAAAGCCCUUCGGGGACGGAAGCGAAAUGAAAGUGGCGAACGGGUGAGUAACACGUGAGCAACUUACCUUACACAGGGGGAUAGCCGUUGGAAACGACGAUUAAUACCGCAUGAGACCACAAAGCCACAUGGCUUAGGGGUAAAAGAUUUAUCGGUGUAAGAUGGGCUCGCGUCUGAUUAGCUAGUUGGAAGGGUAAAGGCCUACCAAGGCAACGAUCAGUAGCCGGUCUGAGAGGAUGAACGGCCACAUUGGAACUGAGACACGGUCCAAACUCCUACGGGAGGCAGCAGUGGGGAAUAUUGCACAAUGGGGGGAACCCUGAUGCAGCGACGCCGCGUGAGCGAAGAAGGUUUUCGAAUCGUAAAGCUCUGUCCUAUGAGAAGAUAAU